RNAcentral lists this ribosomal RNA (1520 nucleotides) under Klebsiella pneumoniae. RNAcentral's name for it is "bacterial SSU rRNA". It matches the Rfam family "Bacterial small subunit ribosomal RNA". The record is from RNAcentral. Lineage: Bacteria; Pseudomonadati; Pseudomonadota; Gammaproteobacteria; Enterobacterales; Enterobacteriaceae.
AGAGUUUGAUCAUGGCUCAGAUUGAACGCUGGCGGCAGGCCUAACACAUGCAAGUCGAGCGGUAGCACAGAGAGCUUGCUCUCGGGUGACGAGCGGCGGACGGGUGAGUAAUGUCUGGGAAACUGCCUGAUGGAGGGGGAUAACUACUGGAAACGGUAGCUAAUACCGCAUAAUGUCGCAAGACCAAAGUGGGGGACCUUCGGGCCUCAUGCCAUCAGAUGUGCCCAGAUGGGAUUAGCUAGUAGGUGGGGUAACGGCUCACCCAGGCGACGAUCCCUAGCUGGUCUGAGAGGAUGACCAGCCACACUGGAACUGAGACACGGUCCAGACUCCUACGGGAGGCAGCAGUGGGGAAUAUUGCACAAUGGGCGCAAGCCUGAUGCAGCCAUGCCGCGUGUGUGAAGAAGGCCUUCGGGUUGUAAAGCACUUUCAGCGGGGAGGAAGGCGGUGAGGUUAAUAACCUCAUCGAUUGACGUUACCCGCAGAAGAAGCACCGGCUAACUCCGUGCCAGCAGCCGCGGUAAUACGGAGGGUGCAAGCGUUAAUCGGAAUUACUGGGCGUAAAGCGCACGCAGGCGGUCUGUCAAGUCGGAUGUGAAAUCCCCGGGCUCAACCUGGGAACUGCAUUCGAAACUGGCAGGCUAGAGUCUUGUAGAGGGGGGUAGAAUUCCAGGUGUAGCGGUGAAAUGCGUAGAGAUCUGGAGGAAUACCGGUGGCGAAGGCGGCCCCCUGGACAAAGACUGACGCUCAGGUGCGAAAGCGUGGGGAGCAAACAGGAUUAGAUACCCUGGUAGUCCACGCCGUAAACGAUGUCGAUUUGGAGGUUGUGCCCUUGAGGCGUGGCUUCCGGAGCUAACGCGUUAAAUCGACCGCCUGGGGAGUACGGCCGCAAGGUUAAAACUCAAAUGAAUUGACGGGGGCCCGCACAAGCGGUGGAGCAUGUGGUUUAAUUCGAUGCAACGCGAAGAACCUUACCUGGUCUUGACAUCCACAGAACUUUCCAGAGAUGGAUUGGUGCCUUCGGGAACUGUGAGACAGGUGCUGCAUGGCUGUCGUCAGCUCGUGUUGUGAAAUGUUGGGUUAAGUCCCGCAACGAGCGCAACCCUUAUCCUUUGUUGCCAGCGGUUAGGCCGGGAACUCAAAGGAGACUGCCAGUGAUAAACUGGAGGAAGGUGGGGAUGACGUCAAGUCAUCAUGGCCCUUACGACCAGGGCUACACACGUGCUACAAUGGCAUAUACAAAGAGAAGCGACCUCGCGAGAGCAAGCGGACCUCAUAAAGUAUGUCGUAGUCCGGAUUGGAGUCUGCAACUCGACUCCAUGAAGUCGGAAUCGCUAGUAAUCGUAGAUCAGAAUGCUACGGUGAAUACGUUCCCGGGCCUUGUACACACCGCCCGUCACACCAUGGGAGUGGGUUGCAAAAGAAGUAGGUAGCUUAACCUUCGGGAGGGCGCUUACCACUUUGUGAUUCAUGACUGGGGUGAAGUCGUAACAAGGUAACCGUAGGGGAACCUGCGGUUG